Molecule: small nucleolar RNA, 102 nt
Filed under: Gossypium hirsutum (cotton)
Lineage: Eukaryota; Viridiplantae; Streptophyta; Magnoliopsida; Malvales; Malvaceae
Also listed under: 1 other name
Description: Plant small nucleolar RNA R71
Rfam family: Plant small nucleolar RNA R71
About the family: R71 is a member of the C/D box family of snoRNAs containing the C (UGAUGA) and D (CUGA) box motifs. Multiple nearly identical copies of this snoRNA have been identified in Arabidopsis, and it is thought to function as a 2'-O-ribose methylation guide for 18S ribosomal RNA.
Source: Rfam by way of RNAcentral
AUGAGAGAAUCCAUUCUGUAAUAAUUCUUUGUACCUUUCUCAUGCCUUAUACAAGGACUCAUCAUCCAUUUGUUGGAAAGCAGAGAUCUCAUUCCUCAACUU